Molecule: ribosomal RNA, 831 nt
Filed under: Trichoderma sp. 1 BRO-2013
Lineage: Eukaryota; Fungi; Ascomycota; Sordariomycetes; Hypocreales; Hypocreaceae
Description: eukaryotic LSU rRNA
Rfam family: 5.8S ribosomal RNA (bases 301-454)
Source: RNAcentral
ACUACCACUCAGGGCCGGAAAGCUCUCCAAACUCGGUCAUUUAGAGGAAGUAAAAGUCGUAACAAGGUCUCCGUUGGUGAACCAGCGGAGGGAUCAUUACCGAGUUUACAACUCCCAAACCCAAUGUGAACGUUACCAAACUGUUGCCUCGGCGGGAUCUCUGCCCCGGGUGCGUCGCAGCCCCGGACCAAGGCGCCCGCCGGAGGACCAACCAAAACUCUUAUUGUAUACCCCCUCGCGGGUUUUUUUAUAAUCUGAGCCUUCUCGGCGCCUCUCGUAGGCGUUUCGAAAAUGAAUCAAAACUUUCAACAACGGAUCUCUUGGUUCUGGCAUCGAUGAAGAACGCAGCGAAAUGCGAUAAGUAAUGUGAAUUGCAGAAUUCAGUGAAUCAUCGAAUCUUUGAACGCACAUUGCGCCCGCCAGUAUUCUGGCGGGCAUGCCUGUCCGAGCGUCAUUUCAACCCUCGAACCCCUCCGGGGGGUCGGCGUUGGGGAUCGGCCCUGCCUUGGCGGUGGCCGUCUCCGAAAUACAGUGGCGGUCUCGCCGCAGCCUCUCCUGCGCAGUAGUUUGCACACUCGCAUCGGGAGCGCGGCGCGUCCACAGCCGUUAAACACCCAACUUCUGAAAUGUUGACCUCGGAUCAGGUAGGAAUACCCGCUGAACUUAAGCAUAUCAAUAAGCGGAGGAAAAGAAACCAACAGGGAUUGCCCCAGUAACGGCGAGUGAAGCGGCAACAGCUCAAAUUUGAAAUCUGGUCCCUAGGGCCCGAGUUGUAAUUUGUAGAGGAUGCUUUUGGUGAGGUGCCGCCCGAGUUCCCUGGAACGGGACGCC